GUUGCGGACAGUGUCUGGUGGGUAGUUUGACUGGGGCGGUCUCCUCCUAAAGAGUAACGGAGGAGCACGAAGGUUGGCUAAUCCUGGUCGGACAUCAGGAGGUUAGUGCAAUGGCAUAAGCCAGCUUGACUGCGAGCGUGACGGCGCGAGCAGGUGCGAAAGCAGGUCAUAGUGAUCCGGUGGUUCUGAAUGGAAGGGCCAUCGCUCAACGGAUAAAAGGUACUCCGGGGAUAACAGGCUGAUACCGCCCAAGAGUUCAUAUCGACGGCGGUGUUUGGCACCUCGAUGUCGGCUCAUCACAUCCUGGGGCUGAAGUAGGUCCCAAGGGUAUGGCUGUUCGCCAUUUAAAGUGGUACGCGAGCUGGGUUUAGAACGUCGUGAGACAGUUCGGUCCCUAUCUGCCGUGGGCGCUGGAGAACUGAGGGGGGCUGCUCCUAGUACGAGAGGACCGGAGUGGACGCAUCACUGGUGUUCGGGUUGUCAUGCCAAUGGCACUGCCCGGUAGCUAAAUGCGGAAGAGAUAAGUGCUGAAAGCAUCUAAGCACGAAACUUGCCCCGA
RNAcentral lists this ribosomal RNA (559 nucleotides) under Salmonella enterica subsp. enterica serovar Infantis. RNAcentral's name for it is "partial 23S ribosomal RNA". It matches the Rfam family "Bacterial large subunit ribosomal RNA", at positions 2244 to 2802 of the family's 2925-position model. The record is from RNAcentral. RNAcentral also lists the same sequence under 18 other names. Lineage: Bacteria; Pseudomonadati; Pseudomonadota; Gammaproteobacteria; Enterobacterales; Enterobacteriaceae.